This 615-nucleotide long non-coding RNA is filed under the name Homo sapiens (human). RNAcentral's name for it is "FOXD3 antisense RNA 1". The record is from RNAcentral. Lineage: Eukaryota; Metazoa; Chordata; Mammalia; Primates; Hominidae.
AGUCGAGUGGAUCCGGGAAGAGGCCUGGUGUCUUCAGGUGUGGACAAAUCCUCCAAGAUUUAACUUCCAAGAAAACCGGCGGCGGAGCGGGUGGAGGAGGCGAGGAUGUGUGGCCAAUGCACGCGGAGUGCAAGGCAAGUCAGUGAUAGUAGGAAAAACUGUGGGGAUUUCACUGGGACUGGAGGGGGAGGCACCGCAAACCGACCCCCAAGUGCGUGGCUGGGGUGCGUGGACCUCACACCUCCAAGGAAAGUCAGUGCUCUUGACGCGGUGAAUCAGCGAUGCGCCUCCUCUUUCCUCCCUCAUUUAGGCCGCCUAGUUGGGAGCCGCAAGAGCCUGCCUGGUGUGGCAGGCACACGGAACCCAAUCCCUGUCUGUCCGCUGCGGCCUGGGAGGGGAGCGCCGGCCUCACCAGAGGAAGGAGCACGAGGGGAGGAGUUCCGAGAGGAAAUAAUUAGUGAAAUAUUUGCAGAAGAUGCUGGGAUGUGGAUUUAAUUCCGGAUGGACAGUGGUGCUUCUGAUUCCCUCAGUCUGUUUCCCCACCCACGAUCUCCUCUUUCCUUGGCCUAGACACACCAAAAAUAAUUCAAUAAAAUAAAAAUAAAAAUUUAAAAA